This 67-nucleotide transfer RNA is filed under the name Marmota monax (woodchuck). Its description in RNAcentral is "tRNA.Undet". Lineage: Eukaryota; Metazoa; Chordata; Mammalia; Rodentia; Sciuridae. The record is from RNAcentral.
GGUCUGUGGCUCAGUGGUAGAGCACUUGCCAGCAUGUGUGAGGCACUGGGUUCGAGUCUCAGCACCA